Molecule: ribosomal RNA, 404 nt
Filed under: Actinomycetes bacterium
Lineage: Bacteria; Bacillati; Actinomycetota; Actinomycetes
Description: Actinobacteria bacterium partial 16S ribosomal RNA
Rfam family: Bacterial small subunit ribosomal RNA
Source: RNAcentral
UGGGGAAUAUUGGACAAUGGGCCCAAGCCUGAUCCAGCCAUGCCGCGUGAGUGAUGAAGGCCCUAGGGUUGUAAAGCUCUUUCACCGGUGAAGAUAAUGACGGUAACCGGAGAAGAAGCCACGGCUAACUUCGUGCCAGCAGCCGCGGUAAUACGAAGGGGGCUAGCGUUGUUCGGAUUUACUGGGCGUAAAGCGCACGUAGGCGGAUUUUUAAGUCAGGGGUGAAAUCCCGGGGCUCAACCCCGGAACUGCCUUUGAUACUGGAAGGCUUGGGUAUGGUAGGGGUGAGUGGAAUUCCGAGUGUAGGGGUGAAAUUCGUAGUUAUUCGGAGGAACCCCAGUGGCGAAGGCGGCUCCCUGGACCUUUACUGACGCUUGGGUGCGAAAGCGUUGGGGGCAAACCGG